RNAcentral lists this ribosomal RNA (253 nucleotides) under uncultured bacterium. RNAcentral describes it as "partial 16S ribosomal RNA". It matches the Rfam family "Bacterial small subunit ribosomal RNA", at positions 524 to 776 of the family's 1533-position model. The record is from RNAcentral.
UACGAAGGGGACUAGCGUUGUUCGGAAUCACUGGGCGUAAAGCGCAUGUAGGCGGAUUCGUAAGUCAGGGGUGAAAUCCCGGGGCUCAACCUCGGAACUGCCUUUGAUACUGCGGGUCUUGAGUCCGAUAGAGGUGGGUGGAAUUCCUAGUGUAGAGGUGAAAUUCGUAGAUAUUAGGAAGAACACCGGUGGCGAAGGCGGCCCACUGGAUCGGUACUGACGCUGAGGUGCGAAAGCGUGGGGAGCAAACAGG